GCGGCGUGCUUAACACAUGCAAGUCGAACGGGAUCCUUUCUAGCUUGCUAGGGGGGUGAGAGUGGCGAACGGGUGAGUAACGCGUGAUUAACCUGCCGUGUAGUUUGGAAUAGCUCCUGGAAACGGGUGGUAAUGCCGAAUGUUCCACAUGCUCGCAUGGGUGUGUGGGAAAACGUUUUAGUGCUAUGCGAUGGGAUCGCGUCCUAUCAGCUUGUUGGUGGGGUAGUGGCCUACCAAGGCUUCGACGGGUAGCCGGCCUGAGAGGGCGACCGGCCACAUUGGGACUGAGAUACGGCCCAGACUCCUACGGGAGGCAGCAGUGGGGAAUAUUGCACAAUGGGGGGAACCCUGAUGCAGCGACGCCGCGUGCGGGAUGACGGCCUUCGGGUUGUAAACCGCUUUUAUUGGGGAGCAAGCGUGAGUGAGUGUACCUUUUGAAUAAGCACCGGCUAACUACGUGCCAGCAGCCGCGGUAAUACGUAGGGUGCAAGCGUUGUCCGGAAUUAUUGGGCGUAAAGAGCUCGUAGGCGGUUUGUCGCGUCUGGUGUGAAAGUCCAUCGCUUAACGGUGGAUUGGCGCUGGGUACGGGCAGGCUAGAGUGUAGUAGGGGAGACUGGAAUUCUCGGUGUAACGGUGGAAUGUGUAGAUAUCGGGAAGAACACCAAUGGCGAAGGCAGGUCUCUGGGCUAUUACUGACGCUGAGGAGCGAAAGCGUG
This 716-nucleotide ribosomal RNA is filed under the name Alloscardovia omnicolens. RNAcentral's name for it is "bacterial SSU rRNA". It matches the Rfam family "Bacterial small subunit ribosomal RNA", at positions 39 to 763 of the family's 1533-position model. Lineage: Bacteria; Bacillati; Actinomycetota; Actinomycetes; Bifidobacteriales; Bifidobacteriaceae. The record is from RNAcentral.